ACAAAAAUUUGGGCCAAAAACCUUUAGUGACGACCCAUUUGAUCGCCACUAAUCCAAUUUUGGAGGAGUAAGUAAAGAAUCUCAGUUCACUACAAGCGAUCCAUAUCUCUCCAAAACCCUUAUCUCCCCUGAAGCCUAUCGUCUCCCCAAAUCCAAAUCCACAUCCUCCUUGUCUCUCUAAAAUUGAAGCCCGUCGUCUUCAAAAUCACAACUGCUUCGUUUCUCCAAAACUGAAACCCAGUCGUGGAAGAUUUCUUUGAAACCCCAUCGCCAAUGGAAGGUUUUCCCCAAUGGAAGCUGAAAUGGAAGGAGAUAUAGAACUUCAUAGUGCCCUCGAUGAUGGCGUCGUUAAGUUACCCUUUCUCUCUAUCAGUAUUAGUGCUUCUCUUCUCUUUUCUUUUUCUUGUGAAAAAGCCCUAAUUAGCAGAGGAUUUAAAACCUUUUAUUUUGUAAGGGAUUGGAUGAGACGAAGAAACAUUAAAGAAGAUGGUAUAUGAAUCUUCUGCUCUCCGUACGAUGCAAGCCAAAGUUGUGAAAGACAUGAGUUCUGUUCAAGGAAUUGGAUGGGACGAAGAAAUGAUUAAAGGAAAUGGAAGAUGAGGUUGCUGCUCCCCGUGAGAUGCAAGCCAAAGUUGCAUUUCUAUGCAUUGAGUUGAUGUUAUCAAGAAUGGAAAUUUCACUGUGCUAGUUUUUGCUUUGGAGUUGGCUGGAGGAUGAGUAAAGUAGCCCUUUCCUUGGCCUGGUUUUUGAUGAUUCCGGGUUACUACUAAUUAUGUGAUGUAGUCCGAAGGAUUUUGGUAUUAUCAUGCUGAAGCAACACACUGGAUGCUCGUCUAUUGAAUUCUCGAUACUCCUCACACACAACUUGCUAAUGCUUCUCAUUAUGUUGGUAUUGGUGCUCUCAUUCUGAACAACAAUGGGCAGGUAUUGGUAGUUAAAGAAAAAUUUAAAAAAUGCACGGGGACUUGGGAGUUUCCCACUGGCAUUGCUGAAGAGGUGUACAAAAUUGUAUCUUUUUCUAAUCAACAUUGCUGAAGAGGUGUACAAAUUUAUAUCUUUUUCUAUUCAGCUUUUAACAAGUUAGCUUCUCCAGUGAGCACUUCUGGAGUUGCUCAUAAAGAACAAGGUUCUUAAACAACCACAAAUGACGGUUGACCAAGGAAGAGUUUGAAGACACUUAGAUUUUAUUUUUUCUUUUCUUCUCGUAUGUAUUUGCGUACAAUGACAAUGAGCAAUGAAGUAUUGUGUAGUAUAUAUUUAACUCACUUUGUGAUAAUGAAAGCAUUUAUAAUAUUUGACUUGAGAAAUA
This is a long non-coding RNA of Nicotiana attenuata, 1309 nucleotides long. RefSeq lists it as uncharacterized. The record is from RefSeq and is a predicted model, not a curated record. The transcript is spliced from 6 exons. NCBI's taxonomy places the organism in Eukaryota, Viridiplantae, Streptophyta, Magnoliopsida, Solanales, Solanaceae.